AAAGGGAGACCUAAUUCCGGUAGGAGACGAAAAAAAAGUAGUCCCUACCAAGAAUCAAUCCCAAAAGGUCGGAACGAGGUAUGAGGCUUUCAAACUAGGUUCUGGGUUCAUAAAAGACCUGAAUCAGGAGCAAGGGCUAUUAGCUCAGGUGGUUAGAGCGCACCCCUGAUAAGGGUGAGGUCCCUGGUUCGAGUCCAGGAUGGCCCACCUGCACAGGUGGCAAAAACAAAAGAAGCGAGGAAUCAGCACCUUAUCUUAUAUACAUAUAUAAGAGAGAAUGCUGGCUCUGAGUACAGAGUCCAGAGGAACCUUGAAAACUGCAUAGAGCUAGGUGAAAAAGCCAAAAAAGAAGACCGCAAG
Molecule: transfer RNA, 360 nt
Filed under: uncultured Microcystis sp.
Lineage: Bacteria; Bacillati; Cyanobacteriota; Cyanophyceae; Chroococcales; Microcystaceae
Description: partial 16S-23S ribosomal RNA intergenic spacer
Rfam family: tRNA (bases 134-207)
Source: RNAcentral